RNAcentral lists this ribosomal RNA (463 nucleotides) under uncultured bacterium. RNAcentral's name for it is "bacterial SSU rRNA". It matches the Rfam family "Bacterial small subunit ribosomal RNA", at positions 28 to 506 of the family's 1533-position model. The record is from RNAcentral.
GACGAACGCUGGCGGCGUGCCUAACACAUGCAAGUCGAACGGAGUCGGCCCCGCAAGGGACUGACUUAGUGGCGAACGGGUGAGUAACGCGUGAGCAACCUGCCUUUCAGUGGGGGACAACAGUUGGAAACGACUGCUAAUACCGCAUGAAGCAUAAUGAUCGCGUGGUCGAUAUGCCAAAGAUUUAUUGCUGAAAGAUGGGCUCGCGUCUGAUUAGAUAGUUGGUGAGGUAACGGCCCACCAAGUCGACGAUCAGUAGCCGGACUGAGAGGGUGAACGGCCACAUUGGGACUGAGACACGGCCCAAACUCCUACGGGAGGCAGCAGUGGGGAAUAUUGCACAAUGGGGGAACCCUGAUGCAGCGACGCCGCGUGAGUGAUGAAGUAUUUCGGUAUGUAAAACUCUAUCAGCAGGGAAGUAUAAUGACGGGUAACCUGACUAAGAAGCACCGGCUAAAUACGU